UAGCUCUUGCCGCGCCGCUCACAACGUCUCCCUCGGUGUACCACCCAUCCAUCGAAAUCUCCGCCGUCUAGCAUCGUUGUCGCUCUACUGCCGCACCUGGCCGCCGGAUUCCCGCCGCCUCCGCGUCCACCUCAGCCUUCGGGGCACCGCUUCAGUCAUCACCACAGGCGGCAUCCCUCACCCUGUUUCAGACUUCUCCACUCCGUCGCGCCCAGGCCGUCUCCGCCCGCGCCAACCUCCGCGUCUCUACCACCACCGCCUUAGCGGCGCGGCCAGUAGGCAGCGCCUGUCUACGCCUCGACUACUCCGCCCGUCGAGGGGCUGCCCGACCGCCGACGCAGUCCAAGCUCUUGAUUGAUUGCACGAGACUGGCUAAGACUUGAUCGGAGGUUGGUGACUUGGUCUGUUAAAUUAAUCUCUUUGUGUGUGUGUGUGUGAAAUCGUUGUUGAAUGUUGAUAGUGAAUUUGG
Molecule: long non-coding RNA, 469 nt
Filed under: Salvia miltiorrhiza (redroot sage)
Lineage: Eukaryota; Viridiplantae; Streptophyta; Magnoliopsida; Lamiales; Lamiaceae
Description: long non-coding RNA (SMIL_LNC012679)
Source: RNAcentral